UGCAAGUCGAACGGCAGCACAGCAGUAGCAAUACUGUGGGUGGCGAGUGGCGGACGGGUGAGGAAUACAUCGGGAUCUACCUUUUCGUGGGGGAUAACGUAGGGAAACUUACGCUAAUACCGCAUACGCCCUACGGGGGAAAGCGGCGGACCGCAAGGCGUCSCGCGAUGAGAUGAACCGAUGUCCGAUUAGCUAGUUGGCGGGGUAAAGGCCCMCCAAGGCGACGAUCGGUAGCUGAUCUGAGAGGAUGAUCAGCCMCACUGGAACUGAGACACGGUCCAGACUCCUACGGGAGGCAGCAGUGGGGAAUAUUGGACAAUGGGCGCAAGCCUGAUCCAGCCAUGCCGCGUGGGUGAAGAAGGCCUUCGGGUUGUAAAGCCCUUUUGUCCGGAAAGAAAAGCACGGGAUUAAUACCCUCGUGUGAUGACGGUACCGGAAGAAUAAGCACCGGCUAACUUCGUGCCAGCAGCCGCGGUAAUACGAAGGGUGCAAGCGUUACUCGGAAUUACUGGGCGUAAAGCGUGCGUAGGUGGUUUGUUAAGUCUGUCGUGAAAUCCCCGGGCUCAACCUGGGAAUGGCGAUGGAUACUGGCAAGCUAGAGUGAGGUAGAGGAGAGUGGAAUUCCCGGUGUAGCAGUGAAAUGCGUAGAGAUCGGGAGGAACAUCAGUUGCGAAGGCGGCUCUCUGGACCAUCACUGACACUGAGGCACGAAAGCGUGGGGAGCAAACAGGAUUAGAUACCCUGGUAGUCCACGCCCUAAACGAUGCGAACUGGACGUUGGGCUCAAUUGAGAGUUCAGUGUCGAAGCUAACGCGUUAAGUUCGCCGCCUGGGGAGUACGGUCGCAAGACUGAAACUCAAAGGAAUUGACGGGGGCCCGCACAAGCGGUGGAGUAUGUGGUUUAAUUCGAUGCAACGCGCAGAACCUUACCUGGUCUUGACAUCCACGGAAUCCUUUA
RNAcentral lists this ribosomal RNA (958 nucleotides) under uncultured bacterium. RNAcentral describes it as "bacterial SSU rRNA". It matches the Rfam family "Bacterial small subunit ribosomal RNA", at positions 56 to 1002 of the family's 1533-position model. The record is from RNAcentral.